AUGGAUGAUUUAUUGCUGCAAGAAGUUGAUGCUGACCUAGCAAAUUUGGAACAUGAGCCCGUGGACGAUACUGAUUUGAUUACAUCUGUUCAAGUCACUAAUGAAUGGACCAACUUUAGGCAACAAUUGUCGCAAGACAUGUAUGUUGAAUACCUUCUCAGGCAUGCUGAAUUAGAGAUGGCCAGAAUGGCUGAAGGAACUGGUACUAGAAAGAGGACUUAUGUCACUUGGGAUGAUGAGAUGGACGCUGCCUUGCUUGAGGUACUUGUUCAUCAUCACAACAUGGGUGACCAUUCACAAAAUGGAUGGAAAGCACAUGUGUACAGUGCAGCUAUCAAGAAUGUGAAGGAGAAGUGCAAUAAGGAUAUCGCGAAGAACAACAUAUUAGGAAGGCUUAGGACUUCCGACAAUCAAUUUGAAAUCAUUAACAAUAUCCUUUCUCAAAGCGGUUUUGGUUGGGAUUGGGUCAAUAAUAAGCUAUCCAUGGAUAGCGACGAUGUGUGGACUAAAUAUUUGGAGGCUAAUAAGAAAGAGAAAGCAUUAGCUUCUUACAAGACCAAAGUAGUGAAGCACUGGGAAGCCAUCUCUACCAUAUAUUCAAAAGAUCAUGCGGAUGGUGAAGGUGCCAAGACAGGUGCUGAGACUGCUGCUGAGACUGCUGCUGAUCUAGAAGAAACAAUUGAAGUCUCUCCAAAAACGGUACCAAAGAGACAACGAACAGGUGAUGCCAUUAUGUGCAUGAUUGGAGAAAUGAGGACUACUUUUAAGGAUGCUUUGAAGACAACUGAUCCACUUCCAUUGCCAAAGGUUACUACUCCUUCUGAAAUACUU
RNAcentral lists this ribosomal RNA (831 nucleotides) under Triticum aestivum (bread wheat). RNAcentral's name for it is "partial small subunit ribosomal RNA". Lineage: Eukaryota; Viridiplantae; Streptophyta; Magnoliopsida; Poales; Poaceae. The record is from RNAcentral.